Molecule: long non-coding RNA, 2760 nt
Organism: Taeniopygia guttata (zebra finch)
Lineage: Eukaryota; Metazoa; Chordata; Aves; Passeriformes; Estrildidae
Source: Ensembl
UUUUUUUUUUUAUAAAAAGAUCAAUGAAAAAUUUAUUUAUAAAUUUUGCACUCUGGGGCUACACAUCUAUAUCAUACACUCAGGAAUAUGCUGUACUGUACAGACUUUAUCCAGUUAGAAAUGAUCAUAUAGUGACCCACAUACAGCUUCAAUAUAAGCCUAAAAAUUCUUAACAUUAAUUAACAUAAUUAAAAAAGGUAUUUGCAUCUAAAGAAAAAUCUACAGAAAAACUCCUUUCUGGAGCAAUCUGUGCAUCAGCUUCAAUGUCUGCUUAUUUCACUGACAUUAUCAAUAUAUUCUUCUUACAAAAAUAACAAUAAUAAUUAAAAAAUGACUGCUGGAAGGCAACCAGUCAUGCACAAAACAGCCUCCCCCACCUGCCUCUUUUUUUUUUUCCUGUGUACUCCCCGUUUUGGCGUGAAGGGUCAGCAGCAUGAUGAGCCAACAAGGGGGGUGGGGGGACCCUCAUUUCAAUUUGAAUCAAUCUGCAUCCCUUUUACUUCUCAGGAUCAAGAGAGAUGGGGGUGUGGGGGUUGCAUAGAAAAUUGAAACUCUAGGGACUAGGAAGGGCAGCAGCUUUUCAGUAAAAUACAAAGGGAUGUAAAAAUACAUCAACUCACAAUUUCAGAGCAAACCCCCUUCCCCAAUGUACAGUUUCCCAAAAAUCUCAGCGUGUCUAAAGCUCCAGGAGGCUGAAAAGGAACAAUACUUUUCUUAAACAACUCACCCAGCAAUUCACACAGGAGAUUCACAGUCUUAAUAGGUAUUUUAUAAAAAUAUAAAUAUGGGUUACAUCAUGUUGUCUUUACAACACUGGACAGAGCUCCCUUUAGACUGGGUUUAUAACCAAGAUUUCUUUUUUAAAAUCCAUCUAGAACUUGGCUUUACAAUACACUUUUUAAUACCAUGUCAUAAAUGUUAUGACAUUUCAUUGUGGCAAAUCCAUUUACGUAAAAAAAAAAUGUGCAACCAUCUGGUAACAACGAUAAAACCUCACUAGGAAAGGUCUUGUUCCCACCCCGUAACUAUCGCACAGAAGCACCAGUGGAAGUGCUGGACACCCCCUUCCAUGCUCACAGAAAGACUUCAGCCAAGCAGUUCCUUGCAAAUUACAGCAAUAACAGUAGACACUUUUGACAGGGCUUUUUUUUCCCCUUCUUUAAAUCUGGAGCUUUUAAAAUAAUCUCAAAUUAGUGAAGUGGAGAAAGAACAAACACAAAUGAAAAACCCAACAAAAUGCAAACAACUGCAGGUGAAGUUAUCAGAGACAAAGCAGAAUAUUCAGUGCAAUGGGAAAUAAUCAGGGCAGACUCUAGGGGUGUGGUUUUUUUUUUGUUUUUUUUUUUUUUUUUUUUUUUAGUUUUAAGACUAGGAAAAGAAAAAAUGAACAAAAAAAAAAGAGCAUAUAUCCCAAACCAUAUUUUUGAAACACUCACCAUCAGCUUCAAACAAAAUCAGGCUCACAAUCUUCACCCACAAAUAUAUACAGACAUGAUAAAUAGGUAAGACACAACCCCAAUAAACCAGCAGGUAACUAUUUUCUUUUCUUUUUUUUAAUCAGAAUGGUUUGGAUGCAGGGAGCAAGAGAAGAAAAAGUGGGGAGAUGGCAGUGAUACGGAUGGCUUUAGUGCAGACAAGGAGAAGAGGGCUGAAAGACCAGCAGGAGAAAGGAGACUUCUGAACUUUUCUGCAUUUUCCAAAUGGAUGUUUUUGUGCCAUAGCAAUAAAAAAAGCAGCAUUUGCGAUUAUACGUGCAGUCACUUCAAAAUGCACCUUCGGGUGGCUCGCUCUGCUUCCUCCCUUUCCUUUAUAAAGAUAUAUACGGUGGGAAUAUAUAUCUCCUAUAAAAGGCGAGUGAGUGUACGUACGUCAAGUGAAUCGUUCUGCAUUGAGAAGUGUUAUCCAAGUUUCACCAAAAGAAAAAAUAAAAGUUCCCAAACUCUUUUCAGUAGUUUUCCAGCAUCUCUGCAGGCAGCAGAGAGCGCUCGCGCCCCUUUUCUGUGCAAAAGCAAAUCCUCUGCCUCUAGAGUUUAUUUCACUUUUUUUUUUUUUUAAAGAAAAAACAGUCCAGGAUUUGCUAAUCCCCCUUUACACACAAAACCACAAGGACUCAAUGUCUUUUCCUGGGAUCUCACGUGUGCUGAAGAGAUUCAUGGAGUGGGUGAGGAAGCAGACUUUCUUCGGACACCCAAGGAAGAAUCAAAGCAGAAAACCCAAUGCAAAAUCAACCAAACCCAGGAGCAAUCAGGGUGAGAAAACCACGUCUGUCAUAUUCCAACGGAGUUGCCUCGACAAAAAAAACAUCAGCGGCGGGAAAACCUUGGAGAGGAAGAAGACUUUCCUGUUCUUCCUCGCCAGGAAGGCCGCGGCCGGCCGGGAGCCCCAGCCCAUGGACGGGGCAUCGCGCCCCGGUCCGGGGCUGGCACCGGAGAGGGGACCCCAGCAGCAGUGGGGGUCUGCGGGGUGGCCUUCGGGGGGAGUUGAAAUGAAUUAGCUACUGAGCCAGAACACUUUAAAUGGGAGGGUCGGGAGCGAGGGGGGCGGGGAGGGGGAUUAAAUAUUAGCGGAGAGGGAACGGGGCGAGGGGUGUUAAAGCAUCUGCCCAGAUGUCAAACUGAAACCGUGAAUACUGUGAGUGCAGCCGAGGUAGAUGGAAGAAAAAAAAAAAAACACGUUACAGUAGGAAACAACCCUUGGAAGAUUAAAAAAAAACCAAACCAAACAAACAACCAAAAAACUCAAAAAUGUGGCGUGUUCUGC